UACAGAGGGUGCAAGCGUUAAUCGGAAUUACUGGGCGUAAAGCGCGUGUAGGCGGCAGGGCAAGUCGGAUGUGAAAGCCCACGGCUCAACCGUGGAAGUGCACCCGAAACUGCCCCGCUAGAGUCUCGGAGAGGAAGGUGGAAUGCUUGGUGUAGAGGUGAAAUUCGUAGAUAUCAAGCGGAACACCGGUGGCGAAGGCGGCCUUCUGGACGAUGACUGACGCUGAGACGCGAAAGCGUGGGGAGCAAACAGG
Molecule: ribosomal RNA, 253 nt
Filed under: uncultured bacterium
Lineage: Bacteria
Description: partial 16S ribosomal RNA
Rfam family: Bacterial small subunit ribosomal RNA
Source: RNAcentral